This is a long non-coding RNA of Ostrea edulis (European flat oyster), 1058 nucleotides long. RefSeq lists it as uncharacterized. NCBI's taxonomy places the organism in Eukaryota, Metazoa, Mollusca, Bivalvia, Ostreida, Ostreidae. The transcript is spliced from 2 exons. The record is from RefSeq and is a predicted model, not a curated record.
UUUAUUUAUAUAAUCUAUUAUUCGGACACAAAUCAUGCAAAACUUCAAUUUAUUAUUCGGGAACAAAUAAUACAAAACUUCAAUAUCUGACAACCGAGCCCCUGUGGUUUUCCUGUGAGUUUCUAUGCAAAUAAAAUGGCUAUCCAUAAACAUAAAAGAAAGGAACCACCGACUGGUGACGUCAUCCUUAUAAAGUCACUUCCAUUGUAUGAAAACACUGUUGUUUUGUACAUUUCAAGGAAAAUACAGACGCAGGAAUUUAUAGCUAUGCCAGCCUUUGAAAGAAAUUAAUACACUGUCGGGCUUACAAGGUCAAGGUUUAUCGACUAAGACGACUUGCCGAGCUACGGAAGCCUUUAAGGGUCAAGUUAAUAAAAAUUAUAUGUCGAAUAAACGACAUAACUAUGUCGAAUAAACGACUUAAUGUGUCGAAUAAACGACAUAACUUUGUCGAAUAAACGACUUAAUAUGUCGAAUAAACGACAUAACUAUGUCGAAUAAACGACAUAACUUUGUCGAAUAAACGACUUAAUAUGUCGAAUAAACGACAUAACUUUGUCGAAUAAACGAUAUUUUAAUAGCUCUACAGUUGAAUACACGCAUUGUUUCGGAGAGUUACAUCAGGGACAUUCCUAGCUCCAUGUAUCGGAGAGAUAUCAGGCUGACCUUGAUGAAUUUCCCAAGUCAUGGAAUUCACAUCACAUUAGACCCACCAGAAAUCAAAACUGCCCUCAUGGUCGACCAAUGGUGAUGUACAACAUUCCAUCUCUCUUCAACACAAGCAACUAUCUUCAAUUAACAUCUGAGCAAAAGAUUAAUGUAUGUGCUGAAGAAUGUUCGUUUCGCAAAGAUGUUACAUGUGACGAGCAGAUAAGUGAACUAUGUUGCAUUUACAUGGAAGAAAAUGGGUGGCAAUAUCCCGUGGAUGUAGGAGAAGGCAUAACAUUGUACAGAAACUUGCGGAGAUCGCUUAUGAUUGAUCUCAAUAUGGAUCCUUAUUUUGAUGACUAUGAUUCGAGUGCAUAUGAUAUACUAAAAUAAAACAAUACUAAAAUAUG